UAGGCAAUUCACUUAUACACU
This 21-nucleotide microRNA is filed under the name Brachypodium distachyon (stiff brome). RNAcentral describes it as "bdi-miR5065". The record is from miRBase by way of RNAcentral. Lineage: Eukaryota; Viridiplantae; Streptophyta; Magnoliopsida; Poales; Poaceae.